Molecule: non-coding RNA, 73 nt
Organism: Ornithorhynchus anatinus (platypus)
Lineage: Eukaryota; Metazoa; Chordata; Mammalia; Monotremata; Ornithorhynchidae
Source: Rfam
AGCAGCGUGGCCUAGUGGAGAGAGUAUGGGCCUGGGAGUCUAAAGGAUCUGGGUUCUAGUCCCAGCUCUGCUA